RNAcentral lists this long non-coding RNA (200 nucleotides) under Lathyrus oleraceus (garden pea). Its description in RNAcentral is "Pisum sativum (pea) long non-coding RNA (PSAT_LNC013354)". The record is from RNAcentral. Lineage: Eukaryota; Viridiplantae; Streptophyta; Magnoliopsida; Fabales; Fabaceae.
AUAUCAUUGCUAAGAAGACACUAAUAAAAACAAAAUUGUUUCUCCUAACUCAUGGACUUGUGGUUACUAUCUUUGGCAUCUUUGUGGAGUUAUCCUCGUCAGUCAGGCUUAUCUAAAUGCCUCACUUAAGGGAAUUGGAAUCUCAUUAUACAGACUCAUAUAAACACCUUUCCUAACUUAGAAUCUCAUCAGACAUACUC